UACGUAGGGGGCUAGCGUUGUCCGGAUUUAUUGGGCGUAAAGAGCGUGUAGGCGGCCAAGUAGGUCCGGUGUGAAAACUCGAGGCUUAACCUCGAGAUGUCAUCGGAAACCAUUUGGCUAGAGUCCGGAAGAGGAAAGUGGAAUUCCUGGUGUAGCGGUGAAAUGCGUAGAUAUCGGAAGGAACACCUGUGGCGAAAGCGGCUCACUGGACCAUUACUGACGCUGAGGCACGAAAGCUAGGGGAGCAAACAGG
RNAcentral lists this ribosomal RNA (253 nucleotides) under uncultured bacterium. Its description in RNAcentral is "partial 16S ribosomal RNA". It matches the Rfam family "Bacterial small subunit ribosomal RNA", at positions 524 to 776 of the family's 1533-position model. The record is from RNAcentral.